Erinaceus europaeus (western European hedgehog) is the source of this 347-nucleotide non-coding RNA. NCBI's taxonomy places the organism in Eukaryota, Metazoa, Chordata, Mammalia, Eulipotyphla, Erinaceidae. The record is from Rfam.
GGAUGUGAGAGGGAUCUGGCUGCAACAUCUGUCACCCCAUUGAUAACCAGGGUUGAUUCGGCUGAUCUGGCUGGCUAGGCGGGUGUCCCCUUCCUCCCUCACCACUCCAUGUGCAUCCCUCUGGAAGCUGCGAGCUUGGUCAAAGGGGAUGGCCUUUCCUGAAUAGAGAAGGACCCAUCUUCCGUCCAGGGUAUAUGAGUAGCUGCACUCCCCUGCUAGAACCUCCAAACAAGCUCUCUAAUGUGCCAGUGUGGUUGCUUUCACUGCACACUGAGUAAGGAGAGUGGCUUUUGGCUGGUCAGCAGUGUGGCCACUGCACCCAGAGCGGCCCAGGAGUUUCACUUCCU